GAAAAAAAUAACCAAAUUAAAAAAAAAAAAGUAACUCCCUAGAAAGGCCCAGUCCUGGAACGAAAAGAGAAAAGAACAAACAACGUUUUGGAGCCUUGUGAAAGUAGACCUCCGGCUUUUCUCCGGUGAUGGAAAGGCAGCAAAUACAGAAGCAUAAAAUCGGAGACCCUUAAGAGUCAGAGGAAACCUUACCAUUCACCUCGACCAAUCCCUUCAUUUGAUACAGGAAGAAACUGAGAUCCAGAGUGGUGAAGUCAUUUGCUCAGGUAUUUCUUAGUGAAAGACUUGGAACUGGAGCCCAAAUUCCCUUCCUCCAAGAAUAGAGCUGUUUCCAACCACCCUAUGGACCAGGGUUUUUAGGGUCAAUUGACAGCUUCCCCCACCUCCCUAACCCUUUUGGAGUAACUACUAAGCAUCCAGCUAAGCACUGGACUGGAGAUAGAGAGAAGAAGGUAGAAUUGGUACCACCAAGAGAGAUUACAGUCAGGUGGCUCAAUUGUUCUUUCAAUUCGAAGGUCUAUAGGGUCUCAGAGGAGAGACCAGCAACUGGACAGCUCCUUGAAGAAGGUGGGAUUUGAGCUUGCUCUGUUAGAUAUUGUCAAUCAACCAAUCAAUGAACAUUUAUUAAAAGUUUGCUGGGUACCUGGCAGCAUUUGACUCCAACAGACUACUGUCUGAUCUGUCCCCGAAUUUGUAGUGCCAGCUCAUCCCACUGAAGGCUGGGGAAAUGGAACAUGGAAGGUUAUUGAUCUCAUCACCAAUUUGGAAAGGUUGUCCUUUCUCACUUGGGAUACACAGAAAAUUCCAAUCCACAAGGGCAAAAGAAGAAAAAGAAGAGGAAAAAGGAAAAAGAAGAAGGACAAAAGAAGAAGGAAAAAGAAGAAGAAAAAGGAGGACGAGGAAGCCUAAAGUCUUGAAUACAAAACAAUAUGGGGCUUUUUGUUUGUUUCUCUCUCCAAGAUAAACCCUUCCAUAUUCUUUGUCUCAUGCCAGAAAAACUGACUUUGCUGUACUCAGUCCCACCUCAAGUCUCCCUGCUCUCUGUGUUC
RNAcentral lists this long non-coding RNA (1049 nucleotides) under Vombatus ursinus (common wombat). RNAcentral's name for it is "lncRNA (ENSVURG00010015740.1)". The record is from RNAcentral. Lineage: Eukaryota; Metazoa; Chordata; Mammalia; Diprotodontia; Vombatidae.